This 490-nucleotide ribosomal RNA is filed under the name uncultured bacterium. RNAcentral's name for it is "partial 16S ribosomal RNA". It matches the Rfam family "Bacterial small subunit ribosomal RNA", at positions 29 to 507 of the family's 1533-position model. The record is from RNAcentral.
AGUGAACGCUGGCGGUAGGCCUAACACAUGCAAGUCGAACGGCAGCACAGGAGAGCUUGCUCUCUGGGUGGCGAGUGGCGGACGGGUGAGGAAUACAUCGGAAUCUGCCCAGUCGUGGGGGAUAACGUAGGGAAACUUACGCUAAUACCGCAUACGACCUUCGGGUGAAAGAGGGGGAUAGCAAGACCUCUCGCGAUUGGAUGAGCCGAUGUCGGAUUAGCUAGUUGGCGGGGUAAUGGCCCACCAAGGCGACGAUCCGUAGCUGGUCUGAGAGGAUGAUCAGCCACACUGGAACGGAGACACGGUCCAGACUCCUACGGGAGGCAGCAGUGGGGAAUAUUGGACAAUGGGCGCAAGCCUGAUCCAGCCAUACCGCGUGGGUGAAGAAGGCCUUCGGGUUGUAAAGCCCUUUUGUUGGGAAAGAAAUCUUUCAGGCUAAUACCCUGGGAGGAUGACGGUACCCAAAGAAUAAGCACCGGCUAACUUCGUG